GACGAACGCUGGCGGCGCGCCUAACACAUGCAAGUCGAACGAGCGAGAGAGAGCUUGCUUUCUCGAGCGAGUGGCGAACGGGUGAGUAACGCGUGGGUAACCUGCCUCACACAGGGGGAUAACAGUUAGAAAUGACUGCUAAUACCGCAUAACCCGAUAGGAUCGCAUGAUCCAGACGGAAAAGAUUUAUCGGUGUGAGAUGGACCCGCGUCUGAUUAGCUGGUUGGUGAGGUAACGGCCCACCAAGGCGACGAUCAGUAGCCGGCCUGAGAGGGUGAACGGCCACAUUGGGACUGAGACACGGCCCAA
Molecule: ribosomal RNA, 309 nt
Filed under: uncultured bacterium
Lineage: Bacteria
Description: bacterial SSU rRNA
Rfam family: Bacterial small subunit ribosomal RNA
Source: RNAcentral